GAUGAACGCUGGCGGCGUGCUUAACACAUGCAAGUCGAACGGAAAGGCCCAAGCUUGCUUGGGUACUCGAGUGGCGAACGGGUGAGUAACACGUGGGUGAUCUGCCCUGCACUUCGGGAUAAGCCUGGGAAACUGGGUCUAAUACCGGAUAGGACCACAUUUUGGAUGGUGUGGUGGAAAGUUUUUCGGUGUGGGAUGAGCUCGCGGCCUAUCAGCUUGUUGGUGGGGUAAUGGCCUACCAAGGCGUCGACGGGUAGCCGGCCUGAGAGGGUGUACGGCCACAUUGGGACUGAGAGACGGCCCAGACUCCUACGGGAGGCAGCAGUGGGGAAUAUUGCACAAUGGGCGCAAGCCUGAUGCAGCGACGCCGCGUGGGGGAUGACGGCCUUCGGGUUGGAAACUCCUUUCGCUAGGGACGAAGCGUUAUGUGACGGUACCUGGAGAAGAAGCACCGGCUAACUACGUG
This 466-nucleotide ribosomal RNA is filed under the name uncultured bacterium. RNAcentral's name for it is "partial 16S ribosomal RNA". It matches the Rfam family "Bacterial small subunit ribosomal RNA", at positions 28 to 507 of the family's 1533-position model. The record is from RNAcentral.